Molecule: unclassified non-coding RNA, 1773 nt
Filed under: Hevea brasiliensis (rubber tree)
Lineage: Eukaryota; Viridiplantae; Streptophyta; Magnoliopsida; Malpighiales; Euphorbiaceae
Source: RNAcentral
AUUUAAUAAUGUUAAAAUUAAAUAUUUAUUAUAGAAUUCAUAUAAGAUCAAUUAAAAUUAUGCAUAUAUAAUUAAAAUAACAUGUAAAUCAAUAAAGACAAUCUUUCUGUCCCAAAUCAAGCUGCUGUUUGUUGUCCUGAGCUGGUAUGCUGUUGCAGUCUGUUCUUGUUCAUCUUCUUAUUCCAAAACUUGCGCAGCUUCUUUACAGUCCACACAACAAACCGAACAAUUUCGAUUAUGGAACCCACCGCAAGCACCCCUAGGAACACGUAAUACAUUUUGAAAUCCAUCCGCCUAAGUUUCACUCUAUAUUUUGAUGGGCUCACCACAACCAUACCCAGUAUAUAGGUUGCUGCGAAGGACAAAUAUGUCACAUCUAUGGCCUGUGCUAAAAGCCACACGCACAACUUAUUCCGAAGAGGAAAUCCACCCACCACCAAAGCUAUGACGCUGAGAGAUGCAAAAAAAGCAAUACCGUUGACAGUUGAGUAAUAAAUGUAUGCGUCUGGAUAGGCAUAGGCUAGAACAGCAGUUCCAGCUUCACAUAUAUUUGUUUCGCUGCAUUCAGGACCACCAGAGUUAUUUGCAAAAUUUUGCUGCCACACACCACCAGGUGGGUUCAUUGCUGCUUGGAAAGUCACGGUUGCAAUUACUGUAGCCACUACCAUUAAGGCACCUCUUGAUUCUUCUACAUCGUAUUGCAAGUGUUUCAUGCAUUUCCCAAACCAUGAUUUUGCUUCUGAUCUUUUGGUAGAAUUUACAGCAGUUUCUGGUGCAAUAGAUAUAAUUGCACUAGUUGGUUGCGGUGAAAGAUUGCUGUUUAGCUUUACUGCUCUUUCAGCACCAGCUUCCAUUAAAACACGUCGAAUUUCUAGACUUUUGAAGUCCCUUGGACACUGUUCUGACAAAUCCAGGGCUGUCAAACCCAUUCCAUUUAAGUUAUUCAGUCUUUCUUUCACUUCAGGUAAUGAAAGGAGGUACCUUAUAGUCUGCUCAAGGGAAAUAUAUACAUAAAUCUCUAUUACUACUUUAAAUUUGCGUGUGUAAAAGAAAUUGUUUGUUUAUUGAUAAUAAAAAGCUUAAAUUACCUCCAAUUGGUUUAGCAUGGCGGCUAAAUGCAAGAUGGUAUUGCCAUCUUGAUUUCUCAAGUUGAUAAAAUCAUCAUUAAGCAUUGGGACCAAUGACUUCAGAGCAUCCAAAUGGUUAUAUUUUACACACAGAUGCAAGACUGUGUCUCCAUCGAGAAGCACUGAAAUGGACUCAGAACUUGCACAAACCAAUUCUUGAAUUGCUUCAACUCUGCCUCUCAUGGCAGCUAAGUGGAGAGGAGUUCUACCAUCUUGAUCACGAGCCAAGCAAACGUCUUUGUCUUGAAUUAGCAAAGCUUUGACAAUCUGAGUAUGGCCCUCAGCAGAAGCCAAGUGAAGAGGAAACCUUCUUAACGAGUCACAUUCUGAGGCCAUUUUAGGACAUCUUUCAAGAAUAGCUAUGGUGAAAUCAAGAUGGCCAAGCAAAGCUGAAAUGUGCAAAGGUGUUUCAGUGAAGUGGGUAAGUGAAACUUUAUUGAGAAUGAGUUGGUCUUUUUGGAUCAAUCUGCGCAAGGUUGUGAUGCAGCCCCUCAUUGCUGCUUCAUACAACAUUGUUGAAUCUUCUGUGUACGGCCUAACCUCCAUGGUUGUUCUCUCUUCUCUCUCUCCUUUCACCAAGAAAUAAGAGAAGAAUCCUGCGUACCAAAGAACCAAGAGUGGAGAUUUCAGAUGUACAGAGUUUUUA